GUCAUGUUUUCUGGCCAUUAAGACUGAACUCUCAUGAUUCAGCAGUUUUACAGAGUGAUCUCUGGAAUACAGUUUCCAGAAAACAUUAUGAAAGUUUUCAUAGAAAGUUCAUGUAGAUUUGGAGUAAAACCAAUUUAGCCCCAAGGCUCUGUUUAUGUAUCGUGUCAAGACAAAGAUCAUGAUCUGGCAGAUCUACAGAAUUGCUGAUUCUACAAGAUGGCAAUUUCUUCCUUACCAUUCAUACAAAUACGUACUGUACUGCUUGGAAAGGAAAAGACAUGGGAAGGUUUGUCCUGUUAUUCUGUUCCUUGCCUCUUUCAGCUGUUGGGCCUUCUCUGCUUGAGCCUCCCCUGAGCCUUGCUGUGGUUUAUGGUUAAUGGCCUCCUGGUGUGUGCUGAUCCUAAUCACACUAAUUAACCAGCAGGGUUAAUCAGCCAUGGAAGAGGCUAGACAGGGAAGCAACUGUGUGCACUGAUCUCAGGGGUCACAUUGGGUCACUCAGGGUCAAGGGCUGGGUCAGAGGUCGGGAAGAAGGAAGGCAAGACUUGAACACCAGCCAGGAAUGCUCUGUAGGAGAUGUGCAGAAAUGCAAAUCAGACAUCUGACGAACGUUGAUGAGAUUGAUCAAAAUUUAUUUAUGCUCCCAUAGGAGACUGGUGGAGACAAGACAGCGCAGCCGCUCCCUCGUUAGCAGUGAUGAUGUCAGACUCAUAACGAGCAGAUGACAGCUACUGCAGCACGUUCCCUACAGGAAGACAGGAAGAUUGAUCUCCUCCCAGAUAAGCAGGAUCUGCAACGAUGCUCAUGUUCUCAGCACCAGUUUCUGCACAAUGCUACAGCAAACCAUCUUUAAAAGUAUUUCAUUUCACUUUUAUUAUUUAGAACCUCUUAAGUUUGUAUUCUGUGUACUUGUGUACCUGAAAUCAGACCAAUUUGGUUGAGGGGACCCAAUGUAUCAUGCUUAUGAAUGAUUGAUAGAUAAAAGUGACAGCACUUUGAACAACUUUCUGUAAUAAAUGUGAAUUCAUCUUUUGUUAUCAAAUCAAAAAAUAUCAAUGCUAGACAUGUUAAAGUUAAUUUGCUUAAUGCUCUCUUGCAUCAAAUUUUGUGUUUUUGGAGUGGUAGAUUACACCAGAAUCAGGCAUUGGAUGUCUUUUUUUUUCCAAGCUGCUUUUCACAUUCGAAGAUUUGACACCAAACUGGAUCAGAAGUUUAUUUUACAGUAGGUCUGUGAUGAAAAUGAUGAAAAGAAGCAGAACUACGAUAGCCCCACCAGCUGGGACGUCGUGGCAGACAGGUCAUUCGCAUUGUGCGUUUCAUGGGAGUCAUUUGCAUCAGACACCCCACGGGAGUUGUCUAGACGCUGGAAGACCUGCGCAAUCGAUGAUGUCAUCUCCUGUGACGUAAGAAUAAUGGUGAGAUAGUCCAGGAUGUAUGCUGUGAUGCUGAGUCUCCUCUCCCAUCCUCUGGACAGAAAAAUUUGAUUAGGAUACAAUUCCUGUAACAAUUACUCCCAGCUUUUGUGUCUAGAUUUUUCACAUCACCCACCAUGUA
This is a long non-coding RNA of Branchiostoma floridae (Florida lancelet), 1554 nucleotides long. RefSeq lists it as uncharacterized. The record is from RefSeq and is a predicted model, not a curated record. Lineage: Eukaryota; Metazoa; Chordata; Leptocardii; Amphioxiformes; Branchiostomatidae. The transcript has 4 exons.